This 427-nucleotide long non-coding RNA is filed under the name Dromaius novaehollandiae (emu). RNAcentral's name for it is "lncRNA (ENSDNVG00000003636.1)". Lineage: Eukaryota; Metazoa; Chordata; Aves; Casuariiformes; Dromaiidae. The record is from RNAcentral.
CCUUGAUGUAGCACUGGGAGAUGCGUAGAUGCCUGGCUCUGCCCUUUCCGCACCGCCAGAAAGGGGAGUAAUCCGAUCUCCUGCGCUUAAGCCACAGAAAAAGUAGGACACUGGCACCAUAGAAACCAUUUGCCCCACACCUCUGUGCGGUUCCUGCAGGCCUGGGAGGAAAUCUGCCUGGAGGACCCGCAACGUCCUGUCCCGAGCUCCCUGAGAUACAACACAUUGCCCAGCUCGUGCCCAGGCACAUGCGGAGCAUGGGCAAGUGGGAAGUCCUUCGGGAAUAAACACAGGGAGCUUCUGCUGAUGAACCUGCAGGGCCUAAAAGCUUCUUGAGCACCUACUUGCUGUCCCUUGGCCAGUAUGGAGCAUUUGUACCGUGAGGAAUCAGGUAAUCCUUUCCACUCUCAAUGUCUUUUCUGUGCCA